AUUGAACGCUGGCGGCGUGCUUUACACAUGCAAGUCGGACGAGUGGCGAACGGGUGAGUAACGCAUCGGAACGUACCGAGUAAUGGGGGAUAACUGUCCGAAAGGACAGCUAAUACCGCAUAAUAUUCUAGCAGCGGAUGUCUGUUUAGCGGGUUGGCGGGGUAAAGGCCCACAAAGGCGACGCUCAGUAGCGGGUCUGAGAGGAUGAUCGGCCACACUGGGACUGAGCAACGGCCAAGACUCCUACGGUAGGCAGCAGUGGGGAAUGUUGGACAAUGGGCGCAAGCCUGAUCCAGCCAUGCCGCGUGUGUGAAGAAGUCCUUCGGGUUGUAAAGCACUUUCAGCGGGGAGGCGUUACCCGCAGAAGAAGCACCGGCUAACUCCGUGCCAGCAGCCGCGGUAAUUC
RNAcentral lists this ribosomal RNA (406 nucleotides) under uncultured bacterium. RNAcentral describes it as "partial 16S ribosomal RNA". It matches the Rfam family "Bacterial small subunit ribosomal RNA", at positions 30 to 526 of the family's 1533-position model. The record is from RNAcentral.